This is a long non-coding RNA of Apis mellifera (honey bee), 1378 nucleotides long. RefSeq lists it as uncharacterized. The record is from RefSeq and is a predicted model, not a curated record. Lineage: Eukaryota; Metazoa; Arthropoda; Insecta; Hymenoptera; Apidae. The transcript is spliced from 2 exons.
CGAGCAUUAUUUGUAUAUCGUACAUAGAUAUUUAAUUAUCUUGAUAAAACUACGCAACACAGCUACGCCGUUGUCGUUGUGGAUUGACGUCAUGAUGACACUUGUUUGUCUGGGCGACUCAAUGGAACGCAGGCGGCCUGAAAAUAGUGGCGGCGAUUUCUCAAUGGAAAAGGAUGAUGGGCACGUGUUUGAUCAAUGAUCGAUCACACGCACUUGAUACAGAGAAAUUGAGACACCGGAAGAGACAAUCAUCGGGACCAUCUUGGCAAUAAUUUAUCUAUUAAUAAUAUUAAAGAGCCGAGUCAGAAGAUACAGACGAACAUGUACAAAAUGAUGUUACGUUUGCUAUUACAGAAGAUGUUUUCGUAUCGUAUUCUUCGUGCAAUAAGUGUAAGCAAGUAUGAUAAUUUCUUUUUCAAUUUAUAUGCAAUUUUUCUCAAAAUUAAUUCCCUCCCUUCUCUUCCUCUCUUCUUUUUCAGUCUGUAGAGAUUUUUGCCCCAUCCGAUUUCGAUCGAGGAUCGAUUCUAGAAUCUUGAGACGCGCACGCGCGAAUUCGUACAGUUUUCAAACGGAAAACGAGACGACAAUAUCCCCCUAUUUCUAUUAUCUAUCCUCUGCACGAGAACGUGAUAUCGAGUAGGCAAGGUUGGGAGCGAUAAAUCGAUUCGAGAGACGUCACGAGAGCCGAGCAAACGGGCAGUUUUUUUUUAUUUGCAUUCGAUGAUAAUGACAGAGCUCUGCUAGGAGGAAGGUGGAGCCCACGUUUGGAUAAUAAUAAUCAUAGGAGGAGUGUAUAACGUGGUGGUACCAAGAAAAUGCAAGUACACAAAGUUUAACGUCAAUCAUGGUACGUUAUGGAUAUUGACGGAUAUUGAAAUUUACAAGAAUCGAGCGAUUGCAAAAUAUGCAAAUAUUUCAUCAACACAUCUUUCUUACGUAAAAAUUCAAGCAAUUUAAGAGACUGGCAUAAUGAAGGAAAAUGAGGAAAAUGACAAGUGUAAUGACAGAUUGACGAAUUAUGAAAUAAAGAAGUAAAAUUAUUACAUCGGGAGUUGAUAAAAAUUUCCGUAAUUGACGAAGACAGUUUUCAAUUUAUAGAUUGCAAAAUACCAAACGAUUUGAAAGAUUCGUUUUAAUCGAUUUAAAAUUAAUUUUAUAGACGCUUAAAUUCAGAUGAAAUUCUUCAGUGUUUCUUCAUUUUAAUGUGGUUAUAUUUCAAAAUUUUAUUAUUGAUUGUUUUAAUAUUAAUUUUUAUGUUAAUAUAGGAGUUAUUUAUAAAAGACAAUUUGAGAAAGGUUGAAAAACAUCGCGCAUUCAAUAUAUAUUGUAUAUGUUGUAAUAUGAAAACUGCGAUCGGAAUUAAAGAAAUCGAUAAAAA